AGCGAACGCUGGCGGCAGGCUUAACACAUGCAAGUCGAGCGCCCCGCAAGGGGCGCGGCAGACGGGAGUGUAAGACGUGGGAACAUACCUUUUGGUUCGGAACAACUUAGGGACACUUCAGCUAAUACCGGAUAAGCCCUUACGGGGAAAGAUUUAUCGCCGAAAGAUUGGCCCGCGUCUGAUUAGCUAGUUGGUGAGGUAACGGCUCACCAAGGCGACGAUCAGUAGCUGGUCUGAGAGGAUGAUCAGCCUCACUGGGACUGAGACACGGCCCAGACUCCUACGGGAGGCAGCAGUGGGGAAUAUUGGACAAUGGGGGCAACCCUGAUCCAGCCAUGCCGCGUGAGUGAUGAAGGCCUUAGGGUUGUAAAGCUCUUUUGCCCGGGAAGAUAAUGACGGUACCGGGAGAAUAAGCCCCGGCUAACUUCGUG
Molecule: ribosomal RNA, 431 nt
Filed under: uncultured bacterium
Lineage: Bacteria
Description: partial 16S ribosomal RNA
Rfam family: Bacterial small subunit ribosomal RNA
Source: RNAcentral